Molecule: long non-coding RNA, 826 nt
Filed under: Mytilus galloprovincialis (Mediterranean mussel)
Lineage: Eukaryota; Metazoa; Mollusca; Bivalvia; Mytilida; Mytilidae
Source: RNAcentral
UAUCUAUACUAUUAAACGAGAAGACCUCAUUUUGUGUGUCGCUUCUCUUCUUUCCACAAUAAAGUAAUCAUCAUGCCUCUGUGUUCUUUAGGUACAGUGCAUAGUCGCAUUUGUCAUCCAUUUUUAUGAUUAUUCAGAUUGAGUUAUUUUGGGAGAAAAACAAGAAAAAACGCAUCCGGAUAUUGAUUCCGUCAUUGGGCGAAAUUUUAAGUCAUAUUAGAUUUCCGGUUUGCGUUUUUCUGUAUUCUUUGAACAUACAUAUACUACGAAUAAAGUGUAUUUUCUAUCUGCUAUUUUUUUUUAAGUUUACUAUCCACGGCGGUCACAGAGUUAACUAAAGAGAGAGAGAGUCUGUAUAAUAUAGAAAUGACCGCCGUGGAUCGAUAAAUAACCUGAGAAUUGAAAGUAAAAAGCAAAUACACUUUAUUUAUAGUAAUGAAUGUUCAGCGCUAAAAGUAUGCAUGUGUUAUUAAUGUUAAUAGAAAUAAAAAAAAAAUGGGAAUUUUUUAAAAAUAAAGGAGGAGCAGGGCUAGGAAAACAAUACACAUUAAAGCUAAUCCCGGCUGACCGGGCCGCUUGAAAUUUUGACGCAUACAACAACCACUUUUCCAUUGUGGCGUCAGAUAUUUUGUAUUGUGACGUCAAAGUUUUGCGGGAACCUGUGUGAUAGCCAGUAAUGGCGGACAAAUAGCAAUAAGGUGUAUUGUCCUGUCCCAAAGCACCUGACUUUUGAUACCUUUUCUGAAAUUCUCCAUCAAUUAAAUUUUUUACAAAAAUUCAUUAUAACAAAAAAAAAAGAAGGUGUGGUAUGAUUGCCAAUGAGACA